GUGAGGAAUAUUGGUCAAUGGAGGCAACUCUGAACCAGCCAAGUAGCGUGCAGGAUGACGGCCCUAUGGGUUGUAAACUGCUUUUAUGCGGGGAUAAACUGAGCCACGUGUGGCUUAUUGCAGGUACCGCAUGAAUAAGGACCGGCUAACUCCGUGCCAGCAGCCGCGGUAAUACGGAGGAUGCGAGCGUUAUCCGGAUUUAUUGGGUUUAAAGGGUGCGUAGGCGGAAGAUUAAGUCAGCGGUAAAAUGUCGGUGCCCAACGCCGGCCGGCCGUUGAAACUGAUUUUCUUGAGUGGGCGAGAAGUAUGCGGAAUGCGUGGUGUAGCGGUGAAAUGCAUAGAGAUCACGCAGAACUCCGAUUGCGAAGGCAGCAUACCGGCAUCCUACUGACGCUGAAGCACGAAGGCGUGGGUAUCAAACAGGAUUAGAAACCCCUGUAGUCC
This 444-nucleotide ribosomal RNA is filed under the name uncultured bacterium. RNAcentral's name for it is "bacterial SSU rRNA". It matches the Rfam family "Bacterial small subunit ribosomal RNA", at positions 354 to 796 of the family's 1533-position model. The record is from RNAcentral.